AACGAACGCUGGCGGCGCGCCUAAUACAUGCAAGUCGAGCGAGAAGACGUAGCAAUACGUUUGUAAAGCGGCGAACGGGUGAGGAAUACAUGGGUAACCUACCCUCGAGUGGGGAAUAACUAGCCGAAAGGUUAGCUAAUACCGCGUACGCUCCUUGGACUUCGGUUCAGGGAGGAAAGCGAUACCGUGGGUAUCGCGCUCUUGGAUGGGCUCAUGUCCUAUCAGCUUGUUGGGAGGUAACGGCUCACCAAGGCUUCGACGGGUAGCUGGUCUGAGAGGACAAUCAGCCACACUGGCACUGCGACACGGGCCAGACUCCUACGGGAGGCAGCAGUAAGGAAUAUUGCGCAAUGGGCGAAAGCCUGACGCAGCGACGCCGCGUGGGGGAUGAAGGUCUUCGGAUUGUAAACCCCUUUCGGGAGGGAAGAUGGAACGAGCAAUCGUUCGGACGGUACCUCCAGAAGCAGCCACGGCUAACUUCGUGCCAGCCGCCGCU
Molecule: ribosomal RNA, 496 nt
Filed under: uncultured bacterium
Lineage: Bacteria
Description: bacterial SSU rRNA
Rfam family: Bacterial small subunit ribosomal RNA
Source: RNAcentral